UACGGAGGGUGCACGCGUUAAUCGGAAUUACUGGGCGUAAAGCGCGCGUAGGUGGAUUGAUAAGCCGGUUGUGAAAGCCCCGGGCUCAACCCGGGAACGGCAUCCGGAACUGUCAAGCUAGCGUGCAGGAGAGGAAGGUAGAAUUCCCGGUGUAGCGGUGAAAUGCGUAGAGAUCGUGAGGAAUACCAGUGGCGCAGGCGGCCUUCUGGACUGACACUGACACUGAGGUGCGAAAGCGUGGGUAGCAAACAGG
Molecule: unclassified non-coding RNA, 253 nt
Filed under: uncultured Halomonadaceae bacterium
Lineage: Bacteria; Pseudomonadati; Pseudomonadota; Gammaproteobacteria; Oceanospirillales; Halomonadaceae
Description: contains 16S-23S intergenic spacer region
Rfam family: Bacterial small subunit ribosomal RNA
Source: RNAcentral